CCUACGGGAGGCAGCAGUGGGGAAUAUUGCACAAUGGCGGAGACCCUGAUGCAGCGACGCCGCGUGAGUGAAGAAGUAAUUCGUUGUGUAAAACUCUAUCAGCCGGGUAGAAAAUGGCGGUACCUGAGUAAGAAGCCCAGGCCAACUACGUGCCGGGAGCCGCGGGAAUACGGAGGGGGCAAGGGUUAUCCGGAUUUACUGGGUGUAAAGGGAGCGUAGACGGGAGUGAAAGUCUGGAGUGAAAGGCGGGGGCUCAAACCCCGCUCUGCUCUGGAAACUGUACGGCUGGAGUGCAGGAGAGGUAGGUGGAAUGCGUAGUGUAGCGGUGAAAUGCGUAGAUAUUACGAGGAACACCAGUCGCGAAGGCGGCCUACUGGAGUGUAACUGACGUUGAUGCACGAAAGCGUGGGUAGCAAACAGGAUUAGAUACCCGGGUAGUC
Molecule: ribosomal RNA, 440 nt
Filed under: uncultured bacterium
Lineage: Bacteria
Description: partial 16S ribosomal RNA
Rfam family: Bacterial small subunit ribosomal RNA
Source: RNAcentral